Molecule: ribosomal RNA, 2442 nt
Filed under: Streptococcus pneumoniae
Lineage: Bacteria; Bacillati; Bacillota; Bacilli; Lactobacillales; Streptococcaceae
Description: bacterial LSU rRNA
Rfam family: Bacterial large subunit ribosomal RNA
Source: RNAcentral
UUAAGUUAAUAAGGGCGCACGGUGGAUGCCUUGGCACUAGGAGCCGACGAAGGACGUGACAAACGACGAUAUGCCUUGGGUAGCUGUAAGUAAGCGAUGAUCCAGGGAUUUCCGAAUGGGGGAACCCAACAGGUAGUACCUGUUACCCACAUCUGUUAAGGAUGUGAGGAGGAAGACGCAGUGAACUGAAACAUCUAAGUAGCUGCAGGAAGAGAAAGCAAAAGCGAUUGCCUUAGUAGCGGCGAGCGAAACGGCAGGAGGGCAAACCGAAGAGUUUACUCUUCGGGGUUGUAGGACUGCAAUGUGGACUCAAAGAUUAUAGAAGAAUGAUUUGGGAAGAUCAGCCAAAGAGAGUAAUAGCCUCGUAUUUAAAAUAGUCUUUGUACCUAGCAGUAUCCUGAGUACGGCGGGACACGUGAAAUCCCGUCGGAAUCUGGGAGGACCAUCUCCCAACCCUAAAUACUCCCUAGUGACCGAUAGUGAACCAGUACCGUGAGGGAAAGGUGAAAAGCACCCCGGGAGGGGAGUGAAAUAGAACCUGAAACCGUGUGCCUACAACAAGUUCGAGCCCGUUAAUGGGUGAGAGCGUGCCUUUUGUAGAAUGAACCGGCGAGUUACGUUAUGAUGCGAGGUUAAGUUGAAGAGACGGAGCCGUAGGGAAACCGAGUCUGAAUAGGGCGCCUUAGUAUCAUGACGUAGACCCGAAACCAUGUGACCUACCCAUGAGCAGGUUGAAGGUGCGGUAAGACGCACUGGAGGACCGAACCAGGGCACGUUGAAAAGUGCUUGGAUGACUUGUGGGUAGCGGAGAAAUUCCAAACGAACUUGGAGAUAGCUGGUUCUCUCCGAAAUAGCUUUAGGGCUAGCGUCGACAUUAGAGAUUCUUGGAGGUAGAGCACUGUUUGGGUGAGGGGUCCAUCCCGGAUUACCAAUCUCAGAUAAACUCCGAAUGCCAAUGAAUUAUGGUCGGCAGUCAGACUGCGAGUGCUAAGAUCCGUAGUCGAAAGGGAAACAGCCCAGACCACCAGCUAAGGUCCCAAAAUAAUUGUUAAGUGGAAAAGGAUGUGGGGUUGCACAGACAACUAGGAUGUUAGCUUAGAAGCAGCUAUUCAUUCAAAGAGUGCGUAAUAGCUCACUAGUCGAGUGACCCUGCGCCGAAAAUGUACCGGGGCUAAAACAAUUUACCGAAGCUGUGGAUACCUUUAUAGGUAUGGUAGGAGAGCGUUCUAUGUGUGAUGAAGGUAUACCGUGAGGAGUGCUGGAACGCAUAGAAGUGAGAAUGCCGGUAUGAGUAGCGAAAGACAGGUGAGAAUCCUGUCCACCGUAAGACUAAGGUUUCCAGGGGAAGGCUCGUCCGCCCUGGGUUAGUCGGGACCUAAGGAGAGACCGAAAGGUGUAUCCGAUGGACAACAGGUUGAUAUUCCUGUACUAGAGUAUGUAGUGAUGGAGGGACGCAGUAGGCUAACUAAAGCAGACGAUUGGAAGAGUCUGUCUAAGCAGUGAGGUGUGAAUUGAGUCAAAUGCUUAAUUCUAUAACAUUGAGCUGUGAUGGGGAGCGAAGUUUAGUAGCGAAGUUAGUGACGUCACACUGCCAAGAAAAGCUUCUAGCGUUUAAACAUACUCUACCCGUACCGCAAACCGACACAGGUAGUCGAGGCGAGUAGCCUCAGGUGAGCGAGAGAACUCUCGUUAAGGAACUCGGCAAAAUGACCCCGUAACUUCGGGAGAAGGGGUGCUGACUUAAAGUCAGCCGCAGUGAAUAGGCCCAAGCAACUGUUUAUCAAAAACACAGCUCUCUGCUAAAUCGUAAGAUGAUGUAUAGGGGGUGACGCCUGCCCGGUGCUGGAAGGUUAAGAGGAGUGCUUAGCGUAAGCGAAGGUAUGAAUUGAAGCCCCAGUAAACGGCGGCCGUAACUAUAACGGUCCUAAGGUAGCGAAAUUCCUUGUCGGGUAAGUUCCGACCCGCACGAAAGGCGUAAUGAUUUGGGCACUGUCUCAACGAGAGACUCGGUGAAAUUUUAGUACCUGUGAAGAUGCAGGUUACCCGCGACAGGACGGAAAGACCCCAUGGAGCUUUACUGCAGUUUGAUAUUGAGUGUCUGUACCACAUGUACAGGAUAGGUAGGAGUCUAAGAGAUCGGGACGCCAGUUUCGAAGGAGACGCUGUUGGGAUACUACCCUUGUGUUAUGGCCACUCUAACCCAGAUAGGUGAUCCCUAUCGGAGACAGUGUCUGACGGGCAGUUUGACUGGGGCGGUCGCCUCCUAAAAGGUAACGGAGGCGCCCAAAGGUUCCCUCAGAAUGGUUGGAAAUCAUUCGCAGAGUGUAAAGGUAUAAGGGAGCUUGACUGCGAGAGCUACAACUCGAGCAGGGACGAAAGUCGGGCUUAGUGAUCCGGUGGUUCCGUAUGGAAGGGCCAUCGCUCAACGGAUAAAAGCUACCC